Molecule: transfer RNA, 78 nt
Filed under: Bacilli bacterium
Lineage: Bacteria; Bacillati; Bacillota; Bacilli
Description: tRNA-Ala
Rfam family: tRNA
About the family: Transfer RNA (tRNA) molecules are approximately 80 nucleotides in length. Their secondary structure includes four short double-helical elements and three loops (D, anti-codon, and T loops).
Source: RNAcentral
GGGGAAUUAGCUCAGUUGGCUCAGAGCACCUGCCCUGCACGCAGGGGGUCGCGGGUUCGAGUCCCACAUUCUCCACCA